Molecule: non-coding RNA, 97 nt
Organism: Marasmius tenuissimus
Lineage: Eukaryota; Fungi; Basidiomycota; Agaricomycetes; Agaricales; Marasmiaceae
Source: the annotation of a GenBank genome assembly
UCCCUGGUAGUAUAUCGGUUAGUACACGCGCCUGUCAUCAAAUGCAAACAUUGUGACGUCUUCGCGCGAAAGCUGGGUUCGACUCCCAGCCAGGGAG